This 906-nucleotide ribosomal RNA is filed under the name uncultured Pezizomycotina. RNAcentral describes it as "SSU rRNA". It matches the Rfam family "Eukaryotic small subunit ribosomal RNA", at positions 19 to 932 of the family's 1831-position model. The record is from RNAcentral. Lineage: Eukaryota; Fungi; Ascomycota.
UGUAGUCAUAUGCUUGUCUCAAAGAUUAAGCCAUGCAUGUCUAAGUAUAAGCAAUUAUACCGUGAAACUGCGAAUGGCUCAUUAAAUCAGUUAUCGUUUAUUUGAUAAUACCUUACUACUUGGAUAACCGUGGUAAUUCUAGAGCUAAUACAUGCUGAAAAUCCCGACUUCGGAAGGGAUGUGUUUAUUAGAUAAAAAACCAAUGCCCUUCGGGGCUUUUUGGUGAUUCAUGAUAACUUUACGGAUCGCAUAGCCUUGCGCUGGCGACGGUUCAUUCAAAUUUCUGCCCUAUCAACUUUCGAUGGUAAGGUAUUGGCUUACCAUGGUUUCAACGGGUAACGGGGAAUUAGGGUUCGAUUCCGGAGAGGGAGCCUGAGAAACGGCUACCACAUCCAAGGAAGGCAGCAGGCGCGCAAAUUACCCAAUCCCGACACGGGGAGGUAGUGACAAUAAAUACUGAUACAGGGCUCUUUUGGGUCUUGUAAUUGGAAUGAGUACAAUUUAAACCUCUUAACGAGGAACAAUUGGAGGGCAAGUCUGGUGCCAGCAGCCGCGGUAAUUCCAGCUCCAAUAGCGUAUAUUAAAGUUGUUGCAGUUAAAAAGCUCGUAGUUGAAACUUGGGCCUGGCUGGCGGGUCCGCCUCACCGCGUGCACUCGUCCGGCCGGGCCUUCCUUCUGAAGAACCUCAUGCCCUUCACUGGGCGUGCUGGGGAAUCAGGACUUUUACUUUGAAAAAAUUAGAGUGUUCAAAGCAGGCCCUUGCUCGAAUACGUUAGCAUGGAAUAAUAAAAUAGGGCGUGCGUUUCUAUUUUGUUGGUUUCUAGAGGACGCCGCAAUGAUUAACAGGAACAGUCGGGGGGCAUCAGUAUUCAGGUUGUCAGAAGUGAAAUUCUUGGGAUUUACUGG